This 1320-nucleotide unclassified non-coding RNA is filed under the name Leishmania donovani. RNAcentral describes it as "gene:LdHU3.36.1920(CDS-product:translation_elonga tion_factor_1-beta_putative)". Lineage: Eukaryota; Euglenozoa; Kinetoplastea; Trypanosomatida; Trypanosomatidae. The record is from RNAcentral.
CUGACCACAGUUUCUCUCGACUUCUCUCGCUCCUCACUCCCGCUCCAUAGCCCUUUCUCUACGCAUUUGUUCCCUUUGUUUUUCGUUUUCAACACAUUCCAGUACCAUGUCCACCCUCAAGGAAGUCAACGGCCGUCUGAACGCGCAGCCGUUCGUGUCGGGCUUCUCCCCUAGCUCCGAGGAUGCCCGCAUCUUCAACGAGAUGUUCGGCAGUAACGUGAACGUGAUCCAGUGGGUGGCCCGCAUGGCCUCCUACUACCAGGCCGAGCGCGAUGAGAUACUCAACGCCGGUACCGAGAAGAAGGCGACUGAGUCCGCAAAGAAGGCCGCCGCCCCGGCUCCUGCCGCUGCCGCUGCCGCCGAGGAGGAGGACGACAUCGACCUGUUCGGCGAGACGACGGAGGAGGAGAAGGCAGCGCUGGAGGCGAAGAAGGCGAAGGACGCGGAGAAGAAGAAGGCGAAGAAGGAUGUGAUUGCGAAGUCGUCGAUCCUGUUCGAUAUCAAGGCGUGGGACGACACGAUCGACCUGGAGGCGCUCGCGCAGAAGCUGCACGCGAUCCAGCGCGACGGCCUGAUCUGGGGUGACCACAAGCUGGUGCCCGUUGCGUUUGGCGUGAAGAAGCUGCAGCAGCUGAUCGUCAUUGAGGACGACAAGGUGUCCGGCGACGACCUGGAGGAGAUGAUCAUGGGCUUCGAGGAGGAGGUGCAGUCGAUGGAUAUCGUCGCCUGGAACAAGAUUUAAGGGGAGCGUGUGUUUGCUGCGCAACUCGAAUCCCUUGCUGCCGUUCCCACUCAGCGAACAACGAUAAUCUGAAAGGGACGGUCGAGUGCCACGCAGAGGAAUGCGGUGCCGUGAGGCGUGCGGCAAUCUUUGCGGCAGGACCAAAAGGGACGUAUGCCGGCUGUCGGAGAAGGGGCAAAGACGUUGGGAAGUUCGCUGCGGCGGAGCAUGCAGCUCAGUGCUUAUGUGCCGUUUUCGACCUGCGUAACGCUGGAAGGAACCUGGUGGGCUUCACGUACAGCGCGCCAUUUGCCUCCUUGAGGCGUGAGGGGCUGAGCGACGCGCUUCCUUGUGGCUCGUACUCCCUGUUCUCCCUGCUCCUCUACCGUGCUUUCCUCCCUGCCUCAACGAUCCUGUGCUGACCGUAGCGACUCGCCGGUGCUCCCCUCGGUGCCUGUCUGUCGCUUGAGACGCUACGCACGCACCGCUGCUUCCCUCAGCCCCGCCUUCUACCCGUUUCCCGAGCAUGCGCCAUGUCACGUGUUCUUUGCUGUCUUCGUUUUCUUGUCGGUCUUUUUAUUUGCCGCCGCCGCUGGCAG